Molecule: ribosomal RNA, 949 nt
Filed under: uncultured bacterium
Lineage: Bacteria
Description: bacterial SSU rRNA
Rfam family: Bacterial small subunit ribosomal RNA
Source: RNAcentral
AGAGUUUGAUCCUGGCUCAGAUUGAACUUUGGCGGCAGGCCUAACACAUGCAAGUCGAGCGGUAGAGAGAAGCUUGCUUCUCUUGAGAGCGGCGGACGGGUGAGUAAUGCCUAGGAAUCUGCCCGGUAGUGGGGGAUAACGUUCGGAAACGGACGCUAAUACCGCAUACGUCCUACGGGAGAAAGCAGGGGACCUUCGGGCCUUGCGCUAUCAGGUGAGCCUAGGUCGGAUUAGCUAGUUGGUGAGGUAAUGGCUCACCAAGGCGACGAUCCGUAACUGGUCUGAGAGGAUGAUCAGUCACACUGGAACUGAGACACGGUCCAGACUCCUACGGGAGGCAGCAGUGGGGAAUAUUGGACAAUGGGCGAAAGCCUGAUCCAGCCAUGCCGCGUGUGUGAAGAAGGUCUUCGGAUUGUAAAGCACUUUAAGUUGGGAGGAAGGGCAGUUACCUAAUACGUGAUUGUUUUGACGUUACCGACAGAAUAAGCACCGGCUAACUCUGUGCCAGCAGCCGCGGUAAUACAGAGGGUGCAAGCGUUAAUCGGAAUUACUGGGCGUAAAGCGCGCGUAGGUGGUUAGUUAAGUUGGAUGUGAAAUCCCCGGGCUCAACCUGGGAACUGCAUUCAAAACUGACUGACUAGAGUAUGGUAGAGGGUGGUGGAAUUUCCUGUGUAGCGGUGAAAUGCGUAGAUAUAGGAAGGAACACCAGUGGCGAAGGCGACCACCUGGACUGAUACUGACACUGAGGUGCGAAAGCGUGGGGAGCAAACAGGAUUAGAUACCCUGGUAGUCCACGCCGUAAACGAUGAGUGCUAGGUGUUAGGCCCUUUCCGGGGCUUAGUGCCGCAGCUAACGCAUUAAGCACUCCGCCUGGGGAGUACGGCCGCAAGGUUAAAACUCAAAUGAAUUGACGGGGGCCCGCACAAGCGGUGGAGCAUGUGGUUUAAUU